AUUGAACGCUGGCGGCAGGCCUAACACAUGCAAGUCGAACGAGUGGCGGACGGGUGAGUAAUGUCUGGGAAACUGCCUGAUGGAGGGGGAUAAGUACUGGAAACGGUAGCUAAUACCGCAUACCAUCGGAUGUGCCCAGAUGGGAUGAUCUAGUAGGUGGGGUAAAGGCUCACCUAGGCGACGAUCCCUAGAUGGGCUGAGAGGAUGACCGUCCACACGGGAACUGAGACACGGUCCAGACUCCUACGGGAGGCAGCAGUGGGUAAUAUUGCACAAGGGGCGCAAUCCUGAUGCAGCCAUGCCGCGUGUAUGAAGAAGGCCUUCGGGUUGUAAAGUACUUUCAGCGGGGAGGCGUUACCCGUAGAAGAAGCACCGGCGAACUCCGUGCCAGCAGCCGCGGUAAUUC
Molecule: ribosomal RNA, 406 nt
Filed under: uncultured bacterium
Lineage: Bacteria
Description: partial 16S ribosomal RNA
Rfam family: Bacterial small subunit ribosomal RNA
Source: RNAcentral